Long non-coding RNA from Phlebotomus papatasi, 1182 nucleotides. RefSeq lists it as uncharacterized. The transcript is spliced from 3 exons. Lineage: Eukaryota; Metazoa; Arthropoda; Insecta; Diptera; Psychodidae. The record is from RefSeq and is a predicted model, not a curated record.
CUUCGAAAUUUUUAUUGAGAGGGGGAAAAUCCAACAUGGCAUCCGGUAGAAUGCCAGACAAAUCAUCAGCUCCAGAAAAGUAUCAUUUUAGUGAGAAAAUCACGAGAAAAGGUUGUUAAAGUUGUUAGAAAUGCAUUUUGGAAGUGUGUUCUGUGAGAAAAUUGUGCAGAUUUUAGUGGAAUUUUGCAAAAUUAAUGUUUAUACACCAGAAAAGUGUUUGUUGUGCUUUGAAGGGGGCGUAACCUAAUAAUUUAUGUUAAGCGUUGGUCUUGGAGAAUUAUUCUUUGAAUAAUUGGACAAAAUACGAUAAAAUGAAGCCAUCAUUGCCAAUAAAAGUACCAUCUAUCUGUCUCACACUUUACUAAAGUACUUCCAAUUGGACUUCAAAUUGUCUGAAAGAGACACACAAACCAUAUGGAAUUAUAUAGAAAUUGGAAUAGAUUGCGUUGGAGUGACAGAGAUGGUGAGAGAGGGCUGAAUCCUAUGGAGACGUCUCUGUAUAAAAAAAAGUCAGAGAGUCGUAAAGUGAAGAAGUGAUAAAAAUAAUCAAAUUAUUCUCACGACAAGUGUUUCACCCGACUUAAGACGAAGGGGAGGGUUUUUUUUUGGGGGGUGAUAUAAAUUCCUGAGGAGAGCCCUUAGAAAGGAAGGAAAAUCCGUGCUGUGGAAGCCAACUGAAUUCCAACAAGUGCAUAUAAUACAUUUUCAGUAGCCAAAAAGAGCCAGAUGAGCAUGAGGUCGUGUGUUUGGUAAAAUUUUACUACUUUUUUACGAUCUUUUUAUGAGCUUUAAAACGGUUCGUUUUUCAUUACAACAAGAUAGCGGUUGGUGCAAGGGGCAAGGAGAAUGGGCCAUAUAAACAAUUCUAGUUAUACUAAUAGACAUCAAAACACUCUCCAAAAUGGAUUUUUAUGAGGUGUUUAGCCGUUUAUUUUGAUGGUUUUGGGUGGUCGUAAAAAUCAACCGUGUGGCUUUUCAACAAGACCCGUGAUUUAUGCUAUUAAAAAAGUGACAUUAUUAAUUAAUUUCCACUCAUGAUAGAGUCACUUGUUAUUUAUCGUCUCACGGCGGCUCUUUUUGACAUCACUAUAGGCCAAUUUGUAUUCUCAACCACCUAUUUUAUUGCCUCUUAAUUGUUAAACAUGCACUUUUACGAUCAAAUAAAUUUUUAUACUCAAUCAA